GCCGGCGCAGCUGAAGAGCAGAGGCUCCUUCUGCAGGCCCAGUGCAGAGCCACCGUGGAGAAAAUCACUGACCUGAAAGGGCAGGGGCAGCAGUCAGGACUCAGGAAGGAGCCAUCCCGGACUCAGAGAAAGGUCUGUUUUAGGCUUCAACCUCCCCACCCCACCAUGCCUGGUGGCACCUGACCUGGCCCAGCCCAUCUCCUAAUGAGGCCGCUUUCCCGUCUUUAGCCAGUGGGUGAAAUCUAACUGUUUGACUCAAGCCUGCAACCACCUCCUUUCUUCCUCAUCAGCGUUGGGUGGUGCUAGAAAGUCCAACUGCGCCAAGCUCGGUCCUGCCUUCUGUGUACCCCACUUCUUAGGAGACUCGUCCUGGGGCCUCUGGCCAAGGGGACAUCCCUGACACUCAAGGGUCCCAGGGAAGCGGCAGUCACUGAUGUCCUUGAAGCCGGACAUUGCCCCAGCACUGACGUCCCCCUGCACUGUGCGUGGGUAUUCUCAACGCUGGGGCAAGUUCGAAGUCCCGGAGAAUCUGCAGGUCCCAUCCCCAGCCCAGCCUUGAAGCCCCGUGCUCUGCACAGCCCUGUCCCGACCUGCUCUCAUUCCCGAGCCGAUGGCCCAAGAAGACCCUGGCAGCCAGUUGCUGCCCCAGCUGGUUCCCUAAACACUCAUGACGAAGUCCUGGGAGCCUCUGAGCCCCACACACUUCUGGGGGUCUUGCGGGGACAAGGCUUCACUCUCAGGUUAUAAAUAAAACUCCCCAGAGAAGAGCUUUCCCCUCCAAAUGCCGCUCCCCGGCUCCGUGACAGCAAAUCUCUGAGUUACUCUUGCUCCUGUGUCUGUAAGCCCUUGUCACAAGAUAAUUCAAAGGUCCCUGUGUGAAGCAAACACUCACGGCCAACGACGACGACGACGUUCCGCC
Molecule: long non-coding RNA, 919 nt
Filed under: Homo sapiens (human)
Lineage: Eukaryota; Metazoa; Chordata; Mammalia; Primates; Hominidae
Description: HSALNT0245524
Source: RNAcentral